AGCAGGUUGGUGUGAAGGUGUGAAGGUGUGGACUCUGCUAUGAAUCAGGCUGAGGACCCAGAGGACGGAGUCCCUCCCUCUGAAGCCCCUCUGUGUGGGGAACAUGACAGCCAGACCAAAGCUCAGAGGGCCCUUCAGCAGUGUCCAGUGAGGGAGGGAGAGCUCCAUGGAGGACUUGGUGAGACCUUUUGGGACUAAACCAAACUGACUGGUGAAGAAAACAGUGAGCUGAAAGACUGAGCUGUUGAUUCUCAGUGGGACCAGCAGGACCAGUAGACCUAAACCACUACAGGGAGUCAUGUGGUCCACAUCCAGACCUCACGUCAUGGACCUUUACCUUGUUUUGGUCUCUGUGAGGACGGACACCAUGUGAGCUGAUGCUUUAUGAUUAGAUGAUGAUGUGAUGAUGUAAUCUCAGUGUUUCUUUCAGUUCACAUCAGCAGAGAGGAAAGUCUCCUGAACCCAGAUGUUUGUCCAUGAAGAGUGAUCGGUCUAAAGGUUGGCUGAUUGACUUCAAAGAUGGAUGCCGUUCUUAUGACCCAGA
Long non-coding RNA from Gasterosteus aculeatus aculeatus (three-spined stickleback), 544 nucleotides. The record is from Ensembl. Lineage: Eukaryota; Metazoa; Chordata; Actinopteri; Perciformes; Gasterosteidae.